Molecule: ribosomal RNA, 254 nt
Filed under: uncultured bacterium
Lineage: Bacteria
Description: partial 16S ribosomal RNA
Rfam family: Bacterial small subunit ribosomal RNA
Source: RNAcentral
UACGAAGGGGGCUAGCGUUGCUCGGAAUCACUGGGCGUAAAGCGCCCGCAGGCGGUCCGCUCAGUUUGCGCUGACAGCUCCUGGCUUAACUGGGAGAGCGGUGCGAAGACGGGCGGACUGAGAGGACCAGAGAGGGACAUGGAACUCCGGGUGUAGUGGUGAAAUGCGUAGAUAUUGGGAGGAAUACCAGUGGCGAAGGCGGCUCUCUGGACCGGUACUGACGCUGAGGCGCGAAAGCGUGGGUAGCAAACAGG